UACGUAGGGGCCGAGCGUUGUCCGGAGUUACUGGGCGUAAAGCGCGCGCAGGCGGCUCGUCAAGCCUGACGUGAAAGCCCCCGGCUCAACCGGGGAGGGUCGUCGGGGACUGGCGAGCUUGAGGUCGGCAGGGGUUGGUGGAAUUCCCGGUGUAGUGGUGAAAUGCGUAGAGAUCGGGAGGAACACCCGUGGCGAAGGCGGCCAACUGGGCCGGACCUGACGCUGAGGCGCGAAGGCGUGGGGAGCGAACGGG
This 253-nucleotide ribosomal RNA is filed under the name uncultured bacterium. RNAcentral describes it as "partial 16S ribosomal RNA". It matches the Rfam family "Bacterial small subunit ribosomal RNA", at positions 524 to 776 of the family's 1533-position model. The record is from RNAcentral.